GGGUUCGUAGUUGAACUGUGGGCCGCGCUGCCGCCGCGCUCCGCCCCACCCGCAGAGGGUGCGUGGCACGCGGCGCGCGCUGCCCGCGAACACUCAGACACAAGCAGCGCGGGAACGCUUCCCCACACCACGCGUGUCAUGCACGCACGGGGCGCCCGCGAGUCUUUACUGUGACUAAAAAAGCGCGACCAAAGCAGUCCAUCGACCUGAAUUGCAAAGCAUGGGAUAACAAAGCAUCAGCCUCCGGGCCACCGAUUCGGCUUUUGUUGGUUUUAACAGUCCGUUGGAGAUUAUGGGCCGGCGCGAGCACGCACCGCGGCAUUCCACUCGGAACACGCCGCACGCCCCGCGGCGCCUCGCGCGUCGCGGCUCGCCGGCCCGGGAAUGAAGGAGGGCGGCUCGGGGGAGAACGUACUGGCGCGUCAGAGGUGAAAUUCUUAGACCGCGCCAAGACGAACCACAGCGAAGGCAUUCUUCAAGGACGCCUUCCUCAAUCAAGAACCAAAGUGUGGGGAUCGAAGAUGAUUAGAGACCAUUGUAGUCCACACUGCAAACGAUGACGCCCAUGAAUUGGGGACCUGUGGCCAGCGGCGCCGCCGGGCUUGCCCGCGCGCGCGCUCGCUCCACCAACCAUCACGUGCACAUUCUUUGGCGCGGCUUCGGCCCCGCCGCUACGGGA
Molecule: ribosomal RNA, 679 nt
Filed under: Trypanosoma vivax
Lineage: Eukaryota; Euglenozoa; Kinetoplastea; Trypanosomatida; Trypanosomatidae
Description: SSU rRNA
Rfam family: Eukaryotic small subunit ribosomal RNA
Source: RNAcentral